This is a long non-coding RNA of Passer domesticus (house sparrow), 1978 nucleotides long. RefSeq lists it as uncharacterized. The record is from RefSeq and is a predicted model, not a curated record. The transcript is spliced from 3 exons. NCBI's taxonomy places the organism in Eukaryota, Metazoa, Chordata, Aves, Passeriformes, Passeridae.
CUAGGCUGGAUUGUGAAUUCAUGCAUAGAACCAGACCUGCUCUACACCUAAUGCCAAAAAAAAAGCCUGCAAAGUUCUCCUCUGCUACAAAGCAACACAAAAAGCCCUCCUAGUCCAUCACCUGUUGCUCAAGGCAUGUAAGAGCAGAAACACACUGAGCCCCUAGAGCCCACACUGAGAAGCUGAGCACUGAGAAGGGACCAGGAUGUGAGGAACCACAUUAGUGGUCUUUGGCAACUAUUUCUGCUGAGCAAAAGCCAGAAGGCUUGUUCCAGCUGGACCUUCCUUCGUUCUAGAAAGCAGCAAACAAGGAGAAGCACUACUUUAAUUACAUUUAGAAGUUUCUCCUAGGUACAGAGACAAGGUCAUGGAUCUUUCAGCAGUCUAUAUUCAAAACAUUUUACAUCAUAGCCAUGGGUGGGAUUUCAGCAGGGAAAUGCCAUGACAGAAAAUGCAAGGAGGAUCAUUCUGUCUGACUCACUCUAACAGGGAGACCUUGUGACCAAAGCACCACCACCAUUUUUUCCCCCAUUUUUGUCCUUCCACAGUAUUUGUUAGCACAUGGGGCUGAGAUGGGUGGCACGGAAGUGACAGCUCUGACACACAGCUGAACCCAGCAGGGCCAGAGUGGCAUGUGGGACUGUUUUUCUGCUCCAGCAGAACAAGGCAAGCCAGAGUGGUGACACUGAUCCCAAGUGAGUCCAGCCAAGCCAAGUGGAGCCCAGCAGGGUGGUAGGAAGAGGCAGUGAAGCGGCAGAUCUCAUUCCCACACACAUGCCCAGCGUGGCAGACUGAUGGCAGCGGCAGUGCCAAACAGAGCUCUGCAGGGACAGAGAGACACCCAUCACCAUCGCCACUGCCACCAUCCCUGCUGCAGAGAGGAAGCAGGAAACUGCCACUGCAGGUGCACAGCUGCUCCAGGCAGCACCAGCAGCCCCCAUCUACCAUCAGAACCAUUCUAAGGGGAGAGAGGAGAGGCUUUACAAGGACUACCUCAAGAAGAGGACAUAGAAUGGAGGGAAGGCCUUCGAAAGAAUAAACAACCCUCAUGCUGCCGCUUUUGCAAGGAAUAAAUGUCCAAGUUUCUUAGUAUCCAGACACAAAUCUGUGGAGUCUUGACAGCCAAGAAGCACAGGAACCUGGACACCUUGUUGUGAGAGACUAGAGGAGAUUGCUGGCUCAACACUUUUCAGGGGCUUGUAUGUGGGGAAGGGGGCAGAUCAAGCCUUGCUCUGGUGAGGCGAUGCCCCACUCGGCACGCCCCACACCCCCAGGCCUGUAUCCCAGCCCAGCAGUGGCCACUGAUCCCUGGCACACCAGAGGCAAUGCUCCACACCUGUGUCUGGAGCCCCUAACCCAGCUCCUAAAUGGCCAGGAAAGUAAUGGAUUUGCACCCAGAAACUGAUCUGAACUGCUCUCCACUGACACACUUGCUAAAAGCUUACAUAGAAAGCUUGUCCAGCACUAAAGAGAGAUGGGGAUGGAGAGAAACUAGCACCAUCCACAGUUUCUUCUGGAGAAAACAUGAACUUUUUUAGAAGAAAAUUAAAAACUCCCAGUAAAGGACCAUGCCUGGUAUCCAUAUGCAUGGAGGAUUGACUCAGAGCUGUAUGGUGCCCAUCAGCUAGAAAAGGAGCUUGUCCUGGGUUGACUAUAUGAUGCUUUUAUCCCCAAUUGUCUUGUUCUGUUUAUACCGAAUAAUAAGUUUUACACCUUUAAGUCUCUCUUCCAGACAGUGAAGAGGGGAGGGAAGAAGCGCGCAGUUUGUUUUCAGACUGCUCUCACUCCUCCACAUUCCUGCUCCUGGACUGUGUUGUCUGCGGAUGGACAGACAGCCGGACAGAGCUCCUUUUUCCCCUUUUCCUUGCUUUUAGUUAGUUUUAGCUAGCUGAGGCAAAGAAGUUCUCCGGAUUGUGAUUUUUUUCCUUUUUUCUUGGACCUGUUCAAGCCUGCUCUGGACUGAACACCCAGAAGAGCA